RNAcentral lists this ribosomal RNA (483 nucleotides) under uncultured bacterium. RNAcentral describes it as "partial 16S ribosomal RNA". It matches the Rfam family "Bacterial small subunit ribosomal RNA", at positions 30 to 507 of the family's 1533-position model. The record is from RNAcentral.
AUUGAACGCUGGCGGCAGGCCUAACACAUGCAAGUCGAGCGGAUGAAGGGAGCUUGCUCCUGGAUUCAGCGGCGGACGGGUGAGUAAUGCCUAGGAAUCUGCCUGGUAGUGGGGGAUAACGUCCGGAAACGGGCGCUAAUACCGCAUACGUCCUGAGGGAGAAAGUGGGGAUCUUCGGACCUCACGCUAUCAGAUGAGCCUAGGUCGGAUUAGCUAGUUGGUGGGGUAAAGGCCUACCAAGGCGACGAUCCGUAACUGGUCUGAGAGGAUGAUCAGUCACACUGGAACUGAGACACGGUCCAGACUCCUACGGGAGGCAGCAGUGGGGAAUAUUGGACAAUGGGCGAAAGCCUGAUCCAGCCAUGCCGCGUGUGUGAAGAAGGUCUUCGGAUUGUAAAGCACUUUAAGUUGGGAGGAAGGGCAGUAAGUUAAUACCUUGCUGUUUUGACGUUACCAACAGAAUAGGCACCGGCUAACUUCGUG